UGAGGAAUAUUGGUCAAUGGGCGAGAGCCUGAACCAGCCAAGUAGCGUGCAGGAUGACAGCCCUAUGGGUUGUAAACUGCUUUUAUAUGGGAAUAAAGUGAGGGACGUGUCCCUUAUUGCAUGUACCAUACGAAUAAGGACCGGCUAAUUCCGUGCCAGCAGCCGCGGUAAUACGGAAGGUCCGGGCGUUAUCCGGAUUUAUUGGGUUUAAAGGGAGCGUAGGCUGUCUAUUAAGCGUGUUGUGAAAUUUACCGGCUCAACCGGUGGCUUGCAGCGCGAACUGGUCGACUUGAGUAUGCAGGAAGUAGGCGGAAUUCAUGGUGUAGCGGUGAAAUGCUUAGAUAUCAUGACGAACUCCGAUUGCGCAGGCAGCUUACUGUAGCAUAACUGACGCUGAUGCUCGAAAGUGCGGGUAUCAAACAGG
RNAcentral lists this ribosomal RNA (424 nucleotides) under Verrucomicrobiota bacterium. RNAcentral describes it as "Verrucomicrobia bacterium partial 16S ribosomal RNA". It matches the Rfam family "Bacterial small subunit ribosomal RNA", at positions 355 to 776 of the family's 1533-position model. The record is from RNAcentral. Lineage: Bacteria; Pseudomonadati; Verrucomicrobiota.